This 460-nucleotide ribosomal RNA is filed under the name uncultured bacterium. RNAcentral describes it as "partial 16S ribosomal RNA". It matches the Rfam family "Bacterial small subunit ribosomal RNA", at positions 338 to 795 of the family's 1533-position model. The record is from RNAcentral.
CCUACGGGAGGCUGCAGUGAGGAAUAUUGGUCAAUGGGCGGGAGCCUGAACCAGCCAAGUCGCGUGAGGGAAGACGGUCCUAUGGAUUGUAAACCGCUUUAGGCGGGGAGCAAUGCCGGGCACGCGUGCCCGGAGGGAGAGUACCCGCAGAAUAAGCAGCGGCUAACUCUGUGCCAGCAGCCGCGGUAAUACGGAGGAUGCGAGCGUUAUCCGGCUGUAUGGGGUUUAAAGGGUGCGUAGGCGGAUUUUUAAGUCAGCGGUAAAAUGUCCGGGCUCAACCCGGGCCGGCCGUUGAAACUGGGGAUCUGGAGUGGGGGAGAAGUAGGCGGAAUGCGGGGUGGAGCGGUGAAAUGCAUAGAUAUCACGCAGAACUCCGAUUGCGAAGGCAGCAUACCGGAGCGCGACUGACGCUGAGGCACGAAAGCGUGGGGAUCGAACAGGAUUAGAUACCCGGGUAGUC